This 253-nucleotide ribosomal RNA is filed under the name uncultured bacterium. RNAcentral describes it as "partial 16S ribosomal RNA". It matches the Rfam family "Bacterial small subunit ribosomal RNA", at positions 524 to 776 of the family's 1533-position model. The record is from RNAcentral.
UACGGGGGGAGCAAGCGUUGUUCGGAUUUACUGGGCGUAAAGAGCGCGCAGGCGGCUGGUCAAGUCCGAUGUGAAAGCUCCCGGCUUAACUGGGAAAUUGCAUCGGAAACUGAUCGGCUGGAAGGUGGGAGAGGGUAGCGGAAUUCCCGGUGUAGUGGUGAAAUGCGUAGAUAUCGGGAGGAACACCAGUGGCGAAAGCGGCUACCUGGCCCAUUCUUGACGCUGAGGCGCGAAAGCUAGGGGAGCAAACGGG